GUGGGGAAUAUUGGGCAAUGGGGGAAACCCUGACCCAGCAACGCCGCGUGAGGGAAGAAGGUUUUCGGAUUGUAAACCUCUGUUCUUGGAGAAGAGAAGAAGACGGUAUCCAAGGAGGAAGCCCCGGCUAACUACGUGCCAGCAGCCGCGGUAAUACGUAGGGGGCGAGCGUUGUCCGGAAUGAUUGGGCGUAAAGGGCGCGCAGGCGGCUGUGUAAGUCAGUAGUGGAAGUCCAGCUUUCAAGGUUGGAAGUGCUAUUGAAACUGUACAGCUUGAGUGCAGGAGAGGUUAUCGGAAUUCCCGGUGUAGCGGUGAAAUGCGUAGAGAUCGGGAGGAACACCAGUGGCGAAGGCGGGUAACUGGACUGCAACUGACGCUGAGGCGCGAAAGUGUGGGGAGCAAACAGGAUUAGAAACCCUAGUAGUCC
RNAcentral lists this ribosomal RNA (427 nucleotides) under uncultured bacterium. RNAcentral's name for it is "bacterial SSU rRNA". It matches the Rfam family "Bacterial small subunit ribosomal RNA", at positions 354 to 796 of the family's 1533-position model. The record is from RNAcentral.